Molecule: long non-coding RNA, 307 nt
Filed under: Equus caballus (horse)
Lineage: Eukaryota; Metazoa; Chordata; Mammalia; Perissodactyla; Equidae
Description: lncRNA (ENSECAG00000050265.1)
Source: RNAcentral
CUUGGAGCUGGCUAAGAGUCUUAAUGGCCUUUGGAUUCAGACUGGAACUACACUGUUUGCUCUCCUGGGUCUCCAGCUUGCCAACUGCAGCUCUCGAGACUUCUCAGCUUCCAUAAUCAUGUGAGACAACCUCUUAUGAACAAAUACACUUGGAAGACCUCUGAGCUCAACACAGUGAGGACUUAAGCUCAGCCAAGCCUGCAGCUUGAAGCAGAACCACCCAGCUGCUCCCAGCCUGGAUCAGUGCAUCUGUAGUUGGUUGACCUGCAGACCCAUUAUCCUGAGAAUAAAUGCUUAUUGUCAUCUA